This 253-nucleotide ribosomal RNA is filed under the name uncultured bacterium. RNAcentral describes it as "partial 16S ribosomal RNA". It matches the Rfam family "Bacterial small subunit ribosomal RNA", at positions 524 to 776 of the family's 1533-position model. The record is from RNAcentral.
UACGGAGGGAGCUAGCGUUGUUCGGAAUUACUGGGCGUAAAGCGCACGUAGGCGGAUCGGAAAGUUGGGGGUGAAAUCCCGGGGCUCAACCCCGGAACUGCCUUCAAAACUAUCGGUCUGGAGUUCGAGAGAGGUGAGUGGAAUUCCGAGUGUAGAGGUGAAAUUCGUAGAUAUUCGGAGGAACACCAGUGGCGAAGGCGGCUCACUGGCUCGAUACUGACGCUGAGGUGCGAAAGCGUGGGGAGCAAACAGG